Long non-coding RNA from Chelonia mydas (Green sea turtle), 99 nucleotides. RefSeq lists it as uncharacterized. The record is from RefSeq and is a predicted model, not a curated record. The transcript is spliced from 3 exons. Lineage: Eukaryota; Metazoa; Chordata; Testudines; Cheloniidae.
ACUAUUUGAAAGAAUAAUUGUGGUGCUGGCAGACUAGGUGCCAGCUCUUGCCAAGGCUUUAGGCAUUAGCUGAGCACUGACAGUUUCAUUGCUGGAAAC